CCCUGGGCAACCCUGCUGGUAUUUGAAAUACCAAUGGCAUAGCUUUCAGCAUCAUAUCAACACUCAAGCCACUCCAGUACUACAAACUGACAGACAAGUGGUAGCUUCUCUUUGCAAAGAGAACGUAGUCUUCUCUCUACCCUUCCCUUUACCUCUCCACCCUUUUCCACUGCCAACCAUUUUGAGUGGCCCUCUUUUAUAUUUUAAUGGUCAUUAUAAGUCUUCAGGAAUUUAUCCAAUUAGAAAAUCAAUAAACACCAUUAACAUCUGCAUUAUCAUGAUUCUGUAAGUAUUGUUCACUGCCUGUGCAAAUGAUUUUUGCAAAGAUUUUUUUUCUAGAGUCAACUGUCACAAUCCCUAUCUCCUCAAAGAAUAUUUCUCACAAUGCCAAAUAGAACGUAUUUUUCUACAAUCCCAAACUUGCUGAAACUCUUGCCACAUUUGAUUUGCUUUGUAGUUGGAUCAUGCUUUUCCUGUGUAGGUUUUUUUUAUUUCCUUCCAGUUUUAAUUGCUUUUCUUUUCAUUGUCUUCCUUUUUCUUUUAUAAUAUCCUUACUCUUUUCUGAAACUAUAUUCUACAGAGUCCCCUUUUUCCAAGAGUUCUUCCUUUUAGAACUUUGUGUCGUUCUAUUUCAUACUGCAGUUCUUACAUGUAGGACAGUUUCUGGCUUCCUGGAUGGUGCAAAUUGUUAAGCACUCAACUACCAGCUGAAAGGUUGGCGGUUCAAACUCACCCAGCAGUGCCUCGGGACACAGGUCUGGCAAUGGCGAUCUGCUUCUGAAAGGUCACAGCCUUGAAAACACUAUGGAGUAGUUCUCCUCUGCACACGUAGGUCACUAUGAGUCGGAAUCUGCUCAACAGCAGCUAACAGCAACUGGAUUGCUUCAGGGCUCUCAGCUAAGGAUUCAUCUCUGCUUUCUGAGUGAGAGUCCCUGUUUCCUAGACAACAUGUAUAUUAGUUUCCAGUUGCUGCCACAACAAAUUACCUCAAACUCAGUUGCUUAAAACGCCACUAAUUUAUUAUCUUACAGUUCUGUAGGUCAAAAGUCUGACACUGGGCUAAAAUCAAUGUGUUGGCAGGACUUUAUCCUUCUGGAGACCUCAGGGGGAAAUAUGUCUCCUUGACUUUUUCAGUCUAGAGUCUGCCUCCAUUCCUUCGUUCAUGAUCCUUUUCUUCCAACUUCAAAGACAGCAAUGGCUGGUAGAGUCCUUCUCAUAUCGCGUGACUCUAACCACUUCUGUAGUUCCAUCUCCCUCUGACUCUCUUUUGUCUCCCUCUUCCACAUUUGAGAACCCUUGUGAUGUGUUGGAUCCACCCGGAGAAUCCAGGGUAAUCUCCCCGUGCUCAGGGUAAUCUCCCACAGCUGCAAGGUCUCUUUUGCCAUAUGGGGUAAUACUCACUGGUUCCAGAAAUGAGAGCAUGGACAUCUUUGAGGAGCCAUUUUUAUGCCUACUGCAACACAUUUUCCCUCUCGCAGUUUAUAGGGUAGCACCCAUUCUGCUUUCACAUCACAAAUACUCUUAAUAUAUCUGUUUUCUUCUGCCUUCUCUGGAAUCCAGACAAUCAUCAGAAUUGAGAUGGUAGUUGAACUAUUUAUUGAUUUGUAGAUGAAGAGGAAAGUAAAGAGAAACGACCUUAUGCAUUUACUUACAGGAUGUGUUACCUAUUAUUGGUGAAAGAUAGGCUUAGUGGUUUGACUCAAACCUGCAACAAAGCUCAUUUAUUCAAGAAUUCUCUGACCAUUUCAUUUUGGUCACCUUCUUCACCUUAACUCUUUGAUGCUCACACUAGAGCUUGUGAAGUUUACAUUUGAUUUAUUGUAAGGUUCCAAAGUGGUCUGUUGUGUGCAAAAAUAUGACUUCCUCCCAUCUCCCAGCAAUGUUCAUAUAUUCUCAUCAUGAGUAUGUAAUCAGCGUUAACUCCUUUAUCAAAUGACCUUAUGGUUCAACUGUACUGGCUGGAGUGACUAAUCCUGAUUACCAUGAGGAUAUUGGGCUGCUUCUACACAGUGAAAGUAAGGAAGAGUUUAUCUGGAAUAUAGGAGAUCCCUUAGAGCAUCUCUUAGUACUACCAUGCUUUGUGAAUAAAGUCCAUCAAAAACUACAACAACCCAAUUCAGGCGGGACUACUAAUGGCCCAGAUCCUACAGGAGUGAAGGUUUGCGUCACCACACCAGGCAAAGGGCCAUGGCCAGCUGAGGUGCUUGCUGAGGGCAAAGGAAAUAUGUAAUGGGUAGUGGAAGAAGAUAGUUAUAAAUAACAGCUCUGACCACAUGACCAGAUGCAGAAUGUAAUUAUUAUAUUUCUUCCUUAUUUUGUUAUAUGUUUGUGGGUGUGUGUGUGUAUGCAGCAAACGUCUUUGUUUUCUUCUCUCUCUUAUCCCUUUAUCAUAUAUAACAUAAGAUGUGUUAAUAAUAGUUAACUUUACAUUACAGCAUUUAAAUUAUAGGCUAUCAAGGAGAAUAGUGAACAUUACCUCAAUUCUGAUAUAUAUAUCAUGUUUAUAUAUGUUAUGCAUAUAUAGAUACAUACUACACACACACACACACACACACACGAGUUGUUGUCGUUAGGUGCCAUCGAGUUGGUCUGCCUCAUAGUGACCCUAUGUAUAACACUUAAUGAUUGGGCAAGCCAGUAAUAACUUGAGAUGGUAAUGAUGUUAAACACAAGUCUUCAAUUUAAAGGCCGUAGUCCCACAUGCAUUUGAAGACAGUGUAUUUUUUUAAUGCCCAGUUUGUAAACACUGAUUAAUUCAGCAGUAAUACAAAUUGUGAGAAAUGGCACCUAUAAGAUUGACUGAACACCAUUAAAAUGCAGACGAUUAGUCAACAAAGGUAGAGCCUACCCAUCCCUAGUUUUUAAACACAUCUAAUACUCCUAUAUAUCUAUCAAUCAGUCACACCAUCCCUAUUUUGAAAUGAUUUAAAUUAAAGACAUUGCCCUGUGGCAGGAAGUAUCUGUUACAUGUUCCAAUGAUUUUCUCUCUGGCCAUCAUGCCAUUUUACCUUUAAAGUAUACUUUCAAUAGGUAACUGAAAAAAUAAAGUGUGUUUGCAAAGAGUUUCUUUUAGUUUUAUCUUGCCCUUUGGUCAAACUAUUUCUGAUGCAUCAUCUACUCCGUGAUGCCACUCUGUGGGAGAAAAGAAACAGAGCUUUCCAGUCACUAGACUAAAGAAGGUUGCUAAACAUAAAAGCAUGAUAGUGAUAAAUUGCUUUAAAAACAGAGAAAGUAAAAAAGCAGGGUUUAAAGGGUCACCAUGAAGAAACCAGAGAUGUAAAAAUAUAUAGUAUAAAAAUAUCUUCUACUUCACCAUUUCAAGGAAAUUUGAAAUUCAAAUAAAGGUAUAUUUUGCAAAGACUCCCUCUUCUACCAAAGUUUCCACUGCAGGUUGACAUUCUCACAGACUUGGCGGGGUUUUUCGUCGCGGUGGUUGUUUUUUAAUCAUUGUGUAUGUGCGCGUGUGUGCUUUUUUUUUUUUUUUGCAAACUAGAAAUUUUAUGGCUGAUGCCUAGCCUGUCUCUUAACUCAUUCUAAUUAUAUUCAUAAUUAAAUUGUAAAAAAAAGUGGUUGACUAGAGCCAAAUGGCUUGCACAGGCGUCUUAUUGUAGGAAUGGUUUAGUGCUAGAUAAUAAACAACUGGACUUCCAUCUACUUAAUUUGGCUUAAUGAAAAGUCCUUUGUAAGUAAAACUAGAAGGUGAUUCAGAUUUAAAAUUGGGCUUUGACUCUGAAAUUAAUUGAGUGGUAAGACAUCAGCUCCGUUAGAAAAUGUGGUGCUUAUCUUUUUGCUCUUCGUUAAAACUUUUAUUUUACUUGCACUCCUUUCUUUCAUGUCCUUAAGAUGUCACUUUUUCAAAGCAAUAAACUUUCCAAGCUGAGCCAUCAGGCCCUGCGCCUUCAUGAGUCAGCUUCCCGAACAUCCCUAUCCUACAGAACGGACAUGCUUUUAAAUAUAUAUAUAUAUAACAAAAUCUAGAAUUUUUCCUCAGUACCUCAAUGGAAAACAGCGGUCUUGACCCAUUCCUCUAGUGGUGGAUUUAAGUCACUGGUUUUCGCAGCCUGUUAUUAGAUUCAUUGCAUCAGUAGACUUUAAUGAAAUUUAAAGUUUGCAGCCUUAGAUUCUACACUGAGGCUUUCUGGCUCAUUUCACAUUCUUGGGUUGACAUCCCAUUGGGAUCACUACUGAGGUGCCUUCAAAAAAUUGUCCAGUCUCUCCUCAUCCCCACCUCUGACUCUGGCCACAUUUCCAAACAUUUACACAAGCUGCUGUAUAGCCAGCCCCUCACCCUAAACUCUUCACCUACCAAUUCUUCUAUGACCUACUUCUAUGACCUUCUUCCUCCAUAAAUUUUUCUCUCACCUAGUCCAGUGUAGUACCAGUAAUAAAGAUAAGCAAAUUGAUGCAACUAGCUUGCCAUUUAAUUUGGAGGAAAAACCAAAUACCUUGCAAGGCCUUCAAGGCCCUACAUACUCUGGUCACCCAAAAGUUCUUAGACUUUAUCUUUUACUAUUCUGCCUUGCCCAUCUUAUUCCAGCCCAUUGGUCUCCAAGCUCUUCGAUUACCCUAGGCAUGCCAAGGGUCUUUGCACUGCCUGAUCCCUCUACCAAAACACACUUCCUUGGAUAGCUGCUUGCAUGUCAACUUCUCAGUGAGGUCCACUCUCAUCACCUAAGCCAAAAUUUUAAUGUGCACCCCAGACAACCCUCCCAUUCAAAUCCUGACUUAGCCAUUUUCUACCUGUAAGAAAAACCUUCAGCAAAUUCUUAACCUUUCCAGGCCUCAAUUUCUACAUCUGUAACAUGGAGAUAAAAAGAGUAUCUCUCUUGUUGAAUAGGUGUAUGUUUUGUGGCGUAUAUUUUCACAAAAAAUAAAAAUAUAUAAUAUCUCUCCAUGGAAAUUUUUAAAAUAAUAUAAUGAAAUGGUAACGGUAAUAAAGCACUUAUUUACAGAGUUGCUGACACAUGGUAUUUAGUAAAUGUUAACUAUUAAGUCAGAGUACAACGGGACUAAACUCUAGACCACACUCUCAGAUGACCUUCGUAUCUUUUCUCACUAGUAUUUCUACUCCUAUAGUGAAGCUGUCUCAAGUAACACACAUGGCCAUCUUUAUUCUGCUCUAAUAUUUUGUUUCCUAGAAAUCCAAACAGCACCAAACAUGCUUAAGUUACCAUUACAGUAUAUUUUCUUGCUUCACAAUCCAGGGACUCCCACUUUCUUCCUUUAUCUCAUGAUAUUUCUCCUUGCUUCUGCCAUCCAUUCCUGGCCCAAAUACCACUUGAUGGUCCAAGCCUACCACUUUAUUAUAGAACAUAAAUCUUCAUCAUAGUCCAGAGUCUAACAAUCAUCUCCAACCAGGCACCAGCUUGCUGCUAUUAAAUAUUAGUAAGUCUGUAACAUUCACAGUGGCACUAGAAAAGAGACAGCUCCAAAGAAAUGCCUUCUCCCCAUUGGAAAUUAGCUGCCUUUCUGAUAGUGAAUCCUGUUUCAGCUUGGGAAGGUCAUAGGAAGAAGCAUUGGUAGGUGAGGAGUUUGGGGUGAUGGGGAGGCUGUACAGCCCCCUUGGUAAAUAUUUGUCACACUUUAGAUCUUUCUCACAGAUAAAAAUAUUCAAGAGUUAUCAACUAAACCAUAUUCAAUAAGAAGUCAUCACUCCUCACACAAACACACAUAGACACAGGAACACGCACGCACACUUGUUCUCUAAUACCUGAAAUGUUUCACUUUUUCUUUUCUAUUGUCGCAAUUCAUGAUAGUCUAGCUCUAAAAAGGUAGAUUUUUUUUUUUUUUUUAACAAGAGGCCUUUAUAUUAACCUUCCAUUUGCUAUUUUCAGGACUUGACAUGGAAUAAGAACUGAUCUCUUACUCUGUUCUCUCUCGCUUGCUCACACUCAGUCACAUUCUCUCUCUUCUCUAAAGUGUUUGUCCUUACUCUAGCUCCCCACCUCUCUGUUGGAAGCAGAACUAGGACUAUCACGGACUCCUUGGAAUGUGUCGUUUUUUCAUUUGGCUCAUUCCUUAUUUUUCUGCAGAGUUAAACUUUAGAUGUGAUGGCUGCUGGAGUAGUAUAAAUUUCCUGGGGGAAUUCUGCUUAUGUUGGAACAGCAGACUAUCUACACUGAGAAUUGCUGUGUGGUUUGGAGAAUGGAACUUUUCCCUCAGGAUUUACUCAUACAUUUUCCUGCAAUUUGGGAAACAAAUACAUGGAAAAUGGACACACUGCUAUAGAAAUGCAAGUAGCAGUGCUGGUUUUUCAGAGUAAAAGUAUUAUGAUCAAAAGAAUAAACACAAACUUAUAUUUUAAAAAAUGCAUAAACUGUUAAAAAGUUAUAUUGGGAUAUUAGGUAAUUAUGAGAGUUUUUUUCCUUUCAUUGAUUUAUACAUAGCUUUCCAUUUAACUGUGCAGUCCCUACCCACAUUUCAUUCCAUAGAACACCUUUAUUUUUCAGAAAAUUGGAAUUUUAGAAGGUCAAAUGCCUAAGGUCCUGAGACCGUGAUUACUGUCUAACCAGACAAUCAGCUCUGGGCCCCUUUCUUUUUUCCUUCUCACCUUGAGUGUCCAAGAGGCAAAAAGAUGACCCUUUCAGAUCCCGAGUCCAUUCUUCUGCCAAGUAUCGGAUGGGCAGACCUAAUUAUUGCCAUCUGUCCUGCUAGUUACAAGUUGAUGCUGUCUUACCAGCAGAUGAAAUCAAUGAUCUUGUGAGCACCUUCUCCAACCCCCUAACUCUAAGCACAAUGGAAAAUUGUUUUCUGACAUCUUUUGUACAUUAUCCUCUGAAUGUCUAAUACUUAAGAAGGAACCAUUUCAUCACUGAAAUAUUCUACAGAAAUUUCUAUUCCUUUGUGCCCUGUUUUAAAAAUGUUUUAGGAAAAGUCUGAGCAAAUAUGAGACCUGGAAUCCUUCAGAAGUUCGUAUUUGUGCUGCCCAGAUCUGUGAUGCCCAGGGCUUCUGAGGGCUGAAUCCCCGAGUGAAUGUGAAACAGUGUUAGCAAAACAGAUGACCUAGUACCCUCCCAAAGGGAAAGAACAGACCAACUAGAGCAUAACUAGCAAAACCACGUUGGUCCAAGUCAGAACGAAAGCAAUGUCUUUCUCAUAACAUCCCCUUAAUGUUUGAAAAUACCGAAAAUGUUAGUCCCACCCCCUCUUCAGUAUUUUUCUUUCUUUCUCUGUUCUUUCAAUCAUUUCUCAUGAAUCAGUGUUUUCCAGACCCUCAUCACCACGAUCACACUCCUCUAAGCGUGCCCUUCGAGAAUUUGGAAAUCACACUUCAAUGGAGUGCUUUAGAUUUGCAACUUUAUCAGUGCAGUAUAGUUUCCUUCUUUCUUCUAGGAGUAUUUAUUACUAUAACCUAAAACUUAAUUAGCUCUUUAUUAAUAUUAUUUAAUUAUAUUAUUAAGACCUGAAAUUGAAUUUCACAAUUCCAGGUAUCACUUUUAACCAUUUUUCCCUUGUCCUAAAUUUGUGCAUUUUAAAACCCACAUGCAGAAAUUUGCAAUCAACGUUGUACCUUUUUUUAAAAAAUCUCUUCUCCCCAUGCUCCCAGCCAAUCAAGGCAAUAACACCAACUGUGAAGGAGGGGGUUUGCAUUAAAGUUUGCAUAUUCACAAAAUUUCUCUCACCUGUGUCUCAUAACAAGCCAUGAUACACACGUAUAUGAUUAUGCUUCUUAUUUUGUUUUUACAAAUGAGGAAGCUCUAGCUAAUAAAUUUUCAGUGGAUUGCACAAGGUUACACUGAUAGUAAUUGGUGGUACUGGGACCAAAACCCAAGUUUUUAACUGUAAGUCCUUCAUUUCUAUCAUUUAGCCUUUCUCCCACCAUUGUAGCAUUUGCAAAUCUGAGCAGUUUGUCUUCCAGGUCCAUAUCCAGAUCUUUGACUACAUUUCAAGACCACAUAAACCAAAAAACCAAGCCCAUUGCUGUCGAGUCAAUUCCGACUCAUAGCAACUUUAUAGGACAUAGUAGAACUGCCCCAUAGGGUUUCCAAGAAGCAGCUGAUGGAUUCAAACUGCUGACCUUUUGAUUAGUAGCUGUAGCACUUAAUCACUGUGCCGCUAGGGCUCCCAAGACCACAUAGCACAGAUUUUAAGAUCAUUUGGAACAAGGAAACAACUAGAGAUAGCAAUUUAUAACAUUUUGGGAAGUCAGUAAAAAGAAUUGUAGAAAGAGAAAUUGCAAAUUUACAAAGUGAAAUUCUUUAGACCUUUGGACACUUGUUAGAAUUAAUUUGAGUCAUAAAUCUUGUAAACUAAUGGGCUAGUGUUGAUAUAUAAAUACACCCUAGAACUGUCCCUACAAUUACAACUCCAAUUUAAGGUAUAAUUACUAUACUUAUCACUUGCAUUAGUCAUAUAUGCACAUUUUGCCAUUUAAGCUAAUUUUUAUAAUGCUUCUUUGUGAUAGAUAUUAUUAUUCCCAUUAUUUCAACUUAGGAAACUGAGGCUGAUAGAAAUUAAAUAAUAUGUCUAAGGUCACCAGCUAGGCAGUUGCAGAGCUGGAAUUUGAACCCAGAACUGGAAGACUCCCAAAGCUUUUACUCUUAACUACAAAAGUAUAGUAUUUGCCCAAUUUAGACAAACUCAUAAUAAAGUGUCUACUUUGAGAUGCAAUAAUUAGUAGAUUUAGAUGUGAUUCAGAUAAAGAUUCUAUGUUGUUAAACACUACAUACAGUAAGAGGAAAUUAUAGAACAGGAAUGAAUUUAUCUGCUUAUACAUGUGUUCUUAAAGACUUGUAUUAAUUUAAGAAAGGCUUUCUGUCUUGAACAUUGAAUUUAAAAUUAACUCAAAUUUCUUAUUUGCUUCCCGUAUCCAAGACAACAUAUUACAGGUACUUAGUCUUGUGCUAGGCCACUGGAAAAACUUUUAAAAAUAAAAAUAAAAUACCAAUGAAAUCACACACACCUAACAAAGGGAGAAGAUUAGAGGAUAUUCAAGUUUAUUUGUAAAGAACAUUUAUCUUUUUAAAAUAUUACCUAAGAGCACUUAUUUUGUGUGAAAUGUAUCACUAUAGAAAAACAACAACAAAAAUCCCAAUAAGCUCCUUUUCUUCUGAAGCGUAAAUAGAAACAAGGACUACAUAGUUACUAUAUUUUCAAACAACUGAAUUAAGAAAUAACUUGCAUCCUAUGUGUUAUUUAAUUGAAAGGUAGGACUAUAACACAGGAUUUACUUAUCCCUCAUAUUAUGUUCUAGAAAAGUCUUUUCAUGGAGUCUGUAAAAUAAAUUCAUUUUUUUAACCCUCCAUACCUAUAAUAAAAAAAAGCCCAACUAUAGUUAAAAUACUGAACCUGUGUCCACUCACACUUUAUGAUAUGCCUCUUUUUAAAAAUAUUUAAUGUUUUUGUUGAAGUAGAGCAUCCACACAGAAAAGUGCACAGAUCAUAAGAACAUUGUUAGUUGAGAAGUGUUCUUGUAAAAUAGGUGUUCCAGGCUUGCUCGUCUGUGACUCCUUUUGCUGACAAUUAAUUGUAAAUUAUGUCUAUUCAGUUUUAAGUGUGAACUGACUAAGUUGUUUCGUGUGUAGGUACAGAGCAGUACAGUAUUGCUUUUCCAUCUCUUAAUCUGACUUAAGCUUCUCUGGGGUAGGAGCCAUGUCUUACUCAUCUUUGUAGCUCCAAUACUUUUCAUUGUUGCUGUUCGUUGCCUUUGAGUUGGCUCCAACUCAUGGCAGGCUUAUGUGUAAUAGAACGAAACUUUGCCCAGUCCUGUACCAUCUUUAUGGUUGUUGCUAUGUUUGAGUCCAUGGUGGCUGUUGUAUGGUGCAUGCCAACCUAGGAGGCUCAUCUUCCAGCACUACACUGGACAAUAUUCUGUAUGAUCCAUGAGGUUUUCGUUGGCUAAUUUUUGGAAGUAGAUCACCAGGCCUUUCUUCCUAGUCUUUCUUAGUCUGGAAGCUCUACUGAAACCUGUCCACCUUGGGUGACCGUGCUGGUAUUUGAAAUACCAGUGGCAUUCCUUCCGGCAUUGUAGCAACAGGCAAGCCAUCACAGUAGGACAAGCUGACCGACAGGGGGUGGAGCUCCAAUAUUAGGUGCAUAUAUAAAAAACAAGGUGCUUUUUGGUGGUUUUUUCAUUUUCACAGUCCACAGUAAUUAGCAGCAAUAAUCCUGAUCUGCUGAAACAGAGGAGUGGGAAGGACUGGUGGUAGUAGGUGAAUAAGAAAGGUGAAAACCAUGCUUAAUUUAAUACAUUUUGCUAAUACCAAAAAACCAAACCCGUUGGCUUUGAGUUAAUUCCAACUCAUAGCAACCCUGUGGGACAGAGUAGAGACGCCCCAUAGAGUUCCCAAGGAGUGGCCGGAGGAUUCAAACUGCCGAUCUUUUGGUUAGCACCUGAGCUCUUAACCACUGUACUACCAGGGGUAUAAUAAAUUUAGAAAUUAACUACUUAUGUUUCGCAAAAUGUUCUUAACCUGUCCUAUAAGCUCUGUUAUACAGCUACCUUCAGAGGAAUAGGCAGACUCUAGUCUUCAUAGUUUCUAUAUGUUAAAGUAAUAUUACUACAUAAUUCACAGAGUUUUCAUCUUGGGUGGUUUAAAUGUUUACGGGAGAAGAAAGGGAAAAUUAUAUGAGCAAAAAAGUAUUGUGUCCACGCUGGUGACCAUUUGCAGUCUUCAAAGGGUUACCUGAACAACUGCUAACACAACUUGCCAGACUUAAAUGCAGAGCAAUGGUGGAGAGAACAGUGAAACUGUACUAUAAAAAUAAAUUACUGUCAUGAAUAUUAAGCAACAAGAAUAUAAUAAACAUGACUGUUUGCAUGAUUCUGAUUUAUUGGUACUGAUAUGCCUAUAAAUUAUGGCACUAAGUGUUUAUUCUAGUUGUUUCAGAAUAUGGGCCAAACAAAGCUGGGUGGACACUUCCUGCAGAUCUUACCAUCUGCCACCAAAUUCCCACUUCAGUACUCCUGUUGCCCGAUUUCUUAUGUCAGUGGCAUCAGGACCGUGUGUGAGCACCCUGCCCUUUAGGUCACUUCACAGUCUGAAGUCGAUUGCAUUUUCAGGAUCUGGUUUUACAACUAGCAUCGUGCAAGUUCCAUUUUCUCACAGUUGGAAAACUCCAGCUCCAGCUGCAAAGUGUCCUGAAGGCUGUUCCUACUUACUGUGUUAAACAGUGCUCACUUUUGACACCAGAGAGUCCAUUAAUGUAUUUACGAACCUCUUGGCACCAGAUUUGGGAUUUCCCAAUGCUAAGAAGCACUGGAUUUUGCAUACUUGCUUAGCAGUGGGUGUUCGGGAUGACUAGUGCUGAGAGGUUAAAGACCAAAAAGAAAGAAAGAGCGAAAAACCGUCGGUGUAUCCACUUAAAGCCUGGAGGUACCUCAACUGCCAUAAGAUUACUACUCGAGUGGCACAAUACUGGUCUUGCCGACAUUCACAAAUAAAAGUUAUUAAGGUUUGCCAUCAGUUUUAAUUGACAUUAUUUGGAACCAGAUAUUUGUUAAACAGAUGGCCAGAAUAAGGUACCACACAAGAAAGUAUCCGUCUCCUGCCUCAAGUUUUAAGCUCUGCAUCAUAAUUGGUAAUCAAAUUUCUUUAGAAGCUUUUAUGUUACAUCAUAGGUUAUUUCAGGAAAUAAAUUACUUUAGAAUCUUCUUUUUCUCUACCAUUGGUGGCAACCUGCAAGAAAGAUAGCUCAUUUUUUAAAUAAUUUAAUAACCUUAACAAAAGAUGCAAUUUCCACAUAAGUGAAGUAUGUUACAAAAGUAUAAGUUGAUGGUACCUGUGAAGAACUGUUUAUGAUAUAAACACUUGGCUAUAGAUCAAAUGCCAGCUAAAGUUCAUGAUGAGGCAAGAACUAUUAGCUACUUAGAGGACUCUUACAAUGUCCUAGAGAGCAUUUGGUGUGUGUAUAUCAAAAGCCUUAAAAAUGUGCUUGUCUUUUUACUGGCAAUUACAUACCUAGAAAAUUAACUUAGGGAAGUUUCAGAGAUAUGCACAAUGAUAGGAACAAACAUAUCCCUUAAAGUGCUAUUAUUAAUAGUGAAAAAUGUAGAAGUAACAUGUAUGUCCAGAUUUAGAGAAGGUUACAUUAUGGCACAUUUAUAUAAUGAAAUAUUAUGCAGUUGUUAAAUUGCAUUGUAGAAAAUAAUACUUCACAAUGUAAAAUUCCAAUAAAUAUAAAAAGAGAGCAUAAGUAUGAUAUGGUAUGUUCGGUAUGGAUCUAUUUUUAAAUAUGUAUGUAAAUAUUUAUAUGUAGAGAAAAGACUAAAGGUUUUCUCUUCAAAAUAUUAACAGGGGUUUUCUCUGAGUGAUUAUAUAGGCCUUUUUUUUUUAAUUCUCUUUUUUGCUUUUCUGUGGUCUACCAGUUUCUACACUAAGUACAUUUGUAAUAAUGGAAAAAAAUGUAAGAGGGUGAAUAGAUGAUGUUGGAAAGGAUCUCAGAAUCAAUUACUCUAGGAGCUCCUAAACCUAAUUUUGAUCCAAAUCCCCUUUGUAAAAACAGAUUCCUGGAUUCCACCCCUAUAGAUUUUGAUUCAUAAUGCCUGGGGUGAGGUUCAGAAUUUUUUUACUAAAAACACACAAGAAAACCUUCACGUGAUUCUAAUGUGCAAUCAGAUUUGGGAACCACUAAUUUUGGUUCUUUAUCCUUAAUAAAGUCAAACAGGAGGCGAGCAGACUCUUCCUUCUCAUUGUCAUAUCUUGGCAUUGCAGCAUCUUGCCCCAGCCAUGGGUCCUAGCUCAUUGUGAGCCUUACCUGUAGCCGUCAAGUCGAUUCCGACUCAUGGCGACCCUAUACGACAGAGUAGAACUGUCCCAUACAGUUUCCGAGGAACACCUGGUGGGUUCAAAAUGCCAACCUUUUGGUUAGCAGGUGACUCUUAACCACCACACCACCAGGGUUUCCAUUGUGAGCCUUAGUUAUCUAUAAUAACACCAUUGUUACCAAUUCAUCCCAUGCUCUUCUCCUCCCCAAUCUUGGUUCAUGCUCCUCUUCCCAUCACUUGUAUUUGGUUUCUGAUUAUGACUUAAUUUAGCCUCCGUUCCAGUGGUUAAUUUUCAUUUAAGAUAUUUUUCUUGAUUAUAGCCCACAGUAAAAGAAUAUGUGUUUAAAUUUAACGAGCUUUUCUAUUUUUAUCAGGAAAACAAGCUCAGAAAGUGCACUUUUAUAUAAAGUAUAGUGCUGUCUGAAAGUCUUUUUGAUUAAUGAUAGUUCAGCAACUAGUUACAGAGCCUCUAUCUGUGCAUUCCUUGAAGGAGAUACUGAAGAGUUAAGAGGUAAAUUCCCUGAACCAGAGAAGAAUGUGAGAGAACAUAUGAUCUGAGGGUGCAAUAAGUGAUGGAGACAAAAAAUGCUCUACAGAGGUAGAGAGAAAAGUGCAGUGGCUGGGAUGACUUCACGAAGGAGUCAUUUAGUGGGUGUGGAGCUUGGAGAGCCAGCCAGGGAAAGAACGUGAACAAGGACCCCAGCUCUGAGAUGAGGGUAUUGUUUUGGGGACAGUGAGGAUCUGAGGAGAAUGCAGCAAAGAUUUUGGAGAUAGCAAUAGGAGAUAAAAGAAAGCAGACACAGUUAACCCAACAUUAUAAGUUCCUGUGACGAUGGUCUUCUUUGAUCUCGUAUCAAUGGAAAAGGUACUCAGUAAAUACUCGGUCAAUAAACUAACAAACUGAUUGCAGAGAAUUCAACACUUCAGAAGAAUUUAAGUUUUAUCCUAUAGGCACUGAAAGCACCACCAAGUAUUUUUGAGGAAAGUAGUGAAAAACUGAAAAUCAUGUUUCAGAGAAAUUGAUUUGGUGGUAACUGGUGGGAUAUAUUUAAGAGGAGAAAUAGUAGACAGAAAACCCUGUUGAGUUGUACACCUGGCACUCUAUGCUGUUACCAUCCACGUAUGACCUUGGGCAAGUGACCUAACUUCUCUUGGACCCAGUUUUUUCCCACUGUAAAAUGGUGAAUUUAUACUAGACCAAAAUUCUUAAAUUGGGACCCAUGCAUAUGCCAUAGAGGUUGAUAAGCCACUCCCAAAAGUGUUUUCUAAAUUUGUGUGUAAGUGCACCUGUGUAUUUUCUGAAGCAAGAUUCUCAGAAGAUCUGUGACCCCAAAAAAGGUUAUAGGAUAAUCGUUCCCCAAAGUCUGGUUUGCAGACUAGUAGUAUCAGCAUCACCUGGGAUCUUGUUAGAAAUGUAAAUUCUUAGGCCUCACUCCAGAUCUUCUGAAUGAGAAUCUCUGGGAAUGUAGCCCAGGAAUCUGUUUUUUCACACCCUCUUUAGGUUAUUCUUGGAAACCCUGGUGGUGUAGUGGUUAAGGAAUAUGGCUGCUAACCAAAAGGUCGGCAGUUCGAAUCCACCAGGCACUCCUUGGAAACCCUAUGGGGCAGUUCUACUCUGUCCUGUAGGGUGGUUAUGAGUUGGAAUCAAUUCACCGGUUUGGGUUUUUUUUUUUUGUUGUUGUUUUUUUUGAGGUUAUUCUUGCACACACUUAAAUUUAAGAAGCAUUUAGUAGCUAGAUAAGCUCUAAGCUGCCCUCUAGUUUAAAAAUUUUUGACUACUUUGCAAAAGAAAGGAAGAAGAAAAGGAAAGGAACAAAGUAUAAGAAAGAUUACAAAAAGAAGAUUACAAAAAGAUUUAAUAACAGCUUAGAUAAACAAUCAUAAAAAAAAUGGAUCAGGUUUUAAACCUAGACGACCAACAUGAAAAAAAUGUACUUGACAAAAAUUGAGAAGCUGUGAUGCUAAUUUAUUUGGGUACAAUAGAAGACGAGACCAAGCACAAAUCAUCAGUCAGCUGAUUUUUCUUACUGACAUUCUUCCUGCAGACAUAGUAUCUAGGGAGUUCAGUGUACCUUGUGCUGCAAGGAAUUAUCCCAGGAUCGCCCAACAGAAUCUUUGUAGAUAUUGGAACAUUGAAUAUUGAAUAGCUGGAACACUGAAUAAGGAAUAAGUGAGUAGGAGUUGAGAGUGAUCAGAAAAAAAUAUUUUGGCAAUGAUACGUGUGUACGUGUGUGUAGGAAAAAAAAGUAAAACCUUAAAUUGGUAUUCCCACAUGGGAAAAAUAUAAAUGUGUAUGUAUUUUUUAAGCCAUUUUAGUUCUAGGUCUCAUUUUCUGUAUCUGAAUAGCUCUUAAUAAAUCACAUUCAUUUUAUAGCCCAUACUUUGAUCUGAAUAUGUCAGUGCAAACUCAGAUUCCUUCUAUCUACUAUCCAAAGAUUCAGAAUAAAGUGUGGAGAACCAUAUGACAGGAACAUCUACCAUGCAUUCACUACAGCCCUUCAUACAGUGAGCAUGUUUGAGAGAAACACGACGUGAUGAAGAUGUAUAAUACAAGAUUCCUAUUUCGUAGGGCUGACUUUAUGUGAAUCAUUGAGUUACAAACAAAGAACACAUUCCAGUCAUCCAAGCAAUAAUUGUAAGAGGACAGCCAAAAAGUAAGUUUUCAUUUGGACAAACAAACAAACUAUAUAUAUAUAUCUUUACUUCUACUCUUAUCCUGUCCAUCAGAGCUCUUUUAUUUCAAUUUACAAAUAUUUAUCAUUUUUAUGUAAUAUAAAAUUGCAAUAAAAAUCCAAAAUAACUAGCAAUAUUAAAUAGCUAUCCAAUAUGUAUUUUUUUACCAUUGUAUUCAAGGUAUACUUUUCAUUUGAAAAAGUGUCUCAGUGUCACAAAUUAAUUAGUUUUCCUCAUUAAUUCUGAACAUGAGGAUGGAUUCCAUAUUUUCACACACAUGCCUUCUUCUUUAUAUUCUGAUGGUGUGUAAGACUCUUUUCAGAAUAGUUCCAGAUAUCCAGCAGCCCAAGAAGACUGAGUAUUAAUCCUUGGAAUAUCAGUCCACUCAGAGGAUUGCUACUCCACCUUCCAGAUCAUUCCCUGCAUAUACUAAGUUCAGGGGAAGUCUUCUUCACCGUGGGCAGUCAGUAUUGAACAUUUCCAUGAUUUCAGGCUUGAAAACAAAAGUACAAAGGCAAAAUCAACAUUCUGCCCUAGUGCGAAUGGCUUGUUAUUUCUCAAGUCUAUAUUUGAGCUUUAGGCCUUCUUUCAUUCAUUAAUUUAAAAAUGAUUGAGCAGCAACCAUUGAAUAAGAAAAAGUAUGCUAUAAAUGUGUGUGCUUUAAUGCAGGAAAAUGCAAAUGUUAAAAUUUUGCAUGCAUGCCCAAACUGUUCGAUUAUAUUUUGGGGCAAGUCUAAGUAUUAGUUGCCUACAGGGUAGCUCAGACCUUAAACAUUCUUUUUUUUUUCCUAAGGGAAAUUUUCUGGGUGUUUCUGUGUCAGAGAUAAAAGCCAUUUUUUCUCCCUCUCAUGUCUGAACCUGAAAGAGUAGGACUGGAUUCUGUUCAGACACACACAUUUAGCUGGGCAAGGCGAGUACCUGUCUCACCUGCAUUCUUGACAUAUUUUUUCCGCCCCUCCCCAAGCCCCCAUAUUAUAAAACUACUUCAAUUUCCCUACAAAUAAAUAAGAAUCUAGAUAAUAAUCUAGAUCAUCGGAAAUGAUAGCUUUCAAUUUCCAAAUGAAGAAAAUAACUGUCUAGUGACCAGUGUUACAGCAGAGGUGCUCACCAUGGGCUGUAAUCAAAUAUAAAAUUUCUUAUGAUUUUAUUUCCACCCAGUCACAGCCUUCCAAAAGAAAACUCCUUGCACAUAAAGAUACAUUGUUAGCACAUUUCGGCAACUUCAUUUCUCCUCUCUCUUUUUAGUCACUCUUUUUGCCAUUCUUGGGGUGAGUAGUAAGGUACUCUUCAGCCAACUAUGUAGAAGAGUGGAUAGCUGUAUGAACAUAACAAGACGUAUGAGAGACACCUGACCCAGCUCACUGGGGUCACUGUAAUACCAACCUCAAAGUGAAAAACACCCUUUUCGUUCCACACCAAGUGACUUAUAAGCAAGCCAAAGCGAUUUUCUGACCUUAUUUUAUACUCCCUCGUCAGCGUACUCACUGUGCCUUGGGAUAGUCAAGGUCAUAGAGUGCAAAGUAUUUCCUAAUAAUUGCUGCCAUUUCUUUUGCUUUUCAAAUCCCUGUAUAAAAGCAAAACCUCUCUUGAGCAACAAACUUCAUUCUGUUCUCUCAUUCAUCAUCAUCACCAUCAUCAUCAUCAUCAUCAUCACCAUCAUCUAAGUAGCCAGUUAAGUAACCAGCAUGUGGUUCUGUACUCUGAUUGGUAUUUGUUGAAGAAUAAGAGGAUGAAAUUCAGAUCUCUUGCUCAUUUCAAAACAGUUGUCAGAUUCACCUUUGGAGUGGAAAAAAAAAAAAC
Molecule: long non-coding RNA, 17179 nt
Organism: Trichechus manatus latirostris (Florida manatee)
Lineage: Eukaryota; Metazoa; Chordata; Mammalia; Sirenia; Trichechidae
Exons: 2
Source: RefSeq, a predicted model, not a curated record